Molecule: transfer-messenger RNA, 394 nt
Filed under: bovine gut metagenome
Rfam family: transfer-messenger RNA
About the family: Bacterial tmRNA, also known as 10Sa RNA or SsrA, is named for its dual tRNA and mRNA-like properties. Its role is to liberate the mRNA from a stalled ribosome.
Source: RNAcentral
GACUGGAUUUGACAGCGAGGUGAAGAGGUGUGCAAGCAUGCAGUGCGUUGGUAGCGGUCACUCUAAACGCAACUACCGGAAAUUUAUUUGGCGAAAACAAUUACGCUCUCGCAGCUUAGUCUGAAGUACAGUAGGACUGCUUUAUUCCGCGCCCAGGGUGCGGAACGGGACGUCGCCCGGUCGCUCUUUCUCCGAAGCGUAUCGAUAUGGCGGCGCAGCAAAUCGGGGAUAGCUUGAGGCGGCCCCGCGCCUCGGGUGAAAAUCUUUAGGGGAUAUGCCCUGCUUUUGGCGGCCAGGCUCCGGCUGCGGGACAGACAAUCUCAGCUUGGCUAAGCAUGUAGAAACCACAUGGCUUCCUUGUUUGGACGGGAGUUCGAUUCUCCCCUGGUCCACU